This is a long non-coding RNA of Apis mellifera (honey bee), 1711 nucleotides long. RefSeq lists it as uncharacterized. NCBI's taxonomy places the organism in Eukaryota, Metazoa, Arthropoda, Insecta, Hymenoptera, Apidae. The record is from RefSeq and is a predicted model, not a curated record. The transcript is spliced from 4 exons.
UUGCAAUAAAUCGGUCUAUAAAAAUCUACAGUUAAACUAUGAUAUAUUUUACUUUAAUUUUUGCACGAAUAAAAGAAAGAACUAUACCGCUUUAGCCAAUCAGAAAAUAGCUAGGGUCUAACACCGAGACGAAUCAGUGCGCAUCAUAGUGCGCAUGUCAUCAGUCUACAGUUGAAAAUCGUGGUGAUAGGUCACGUUUCACCGGCUGAAAAUGAACAUCUUUGUGGGAAAUUAUCAUUUCAUCGUAAGCAAGAUGGCUUUGAAAGUGUAGUUUCUACGCAUACCAUGGCAAUUGAGAGAUAAUUCGACAACUUUGACACAAAUAUGAUAUUUUACAUUUCCUGAAUGGAUCAUGACAACAUCGACAGGAAUAUUCUUCGCAUCUAAUGGGUUUUGCCAAGUCUCUCGGAAACGACAGGAAUCAAAGAAGUCGGAUUUCCACGGAAGUGUGACGAAUCGACUCUGCUUGCAAUUUAAUCGCGACUUAAUCUUGGUAUCGGUCGAGAUACCGGCAGAGGCUGGCCAUGGUGCGGUGUCACGCUCGCAAAACUCCGAUUCGCUAAGCGAUGCAUUUAUAUGCUCUCUGCUCACCUCACCGAGUCCAAUCCUCUUUUUGCCGCGUUUCGUUCCGUGUAAACUCGUUCUAGUUUAUUUUCAGACGCCUUCCCUUCUCCUGGGAGGAGGACCCGAGUUUUCUUCGAGUCCUCCAUCGAUCGACAUUGUUCCACAGCGACGCAAUCUUCCCGUCGCGUUCACCGACAAGUCAAUCCGUUUCUCCAUUAAUUUCUCCCCCCUCCCUUCUUUCGUUAGUUACGUUAGUCUUUGAGAACGCGACGAUCCACUCGAGACGUGGCGUAAUUUUCACGUCAAAGAUAGAUAGAUAUUAUAGAUAAAUUUGCGAAAUAAUUAGCACCAGGACGGAAACACUUUCGAUAUCGGUCGAAGAAAACCGAUCGAUUAAUAGGAGGAGCGCAAGAUUAUCGAUUACGCGUAUCCGCUUAAUUUUCCAUCUCAUCGAAUCGAUCGAUGUUUUUUUCGAAUCUACGAACCCUCGAUUAAUAGCACGCGAUAAAUAUCCAGCCGUUUUUCUCUUUGCGCUCUCGCGAUCGUCGAUUAUUUAUCCUUAAUUAUCCUCCCGAGGAAUAUAAUAAUUCAAGCCAACGAUUGCUUUUCGAACGAUCGAGUCGAUAGAUUCGUACGGAUCUCCUUUCGAACCGCGCUAAAAUUCUAAAAUCGAAACGAAAUCUCGUCGUAUUCGGAAUGAAGGCGAUCUGUCCCGAAUAAACAAACGAAACAACGGAAUAAAAUUUGGCAAGAGCCGCGCGAUUUUACGGCACACCUUGUAUACGUUCGCCCUACACCUUUUCGCGGAGGCUGGAUGGCCUGGACUCGGGCUGGUUCUCGUCCCUCUUACUCUUCGUCUCGCUCUCCGACUCCUCUCGGGUUUUGUGCGGCUCGCCUCGCGAGAUCCUCCGCUUCUUCUUGUUUUCCUCGUCCGUCGUCCUCUCCGUGGCGCGCGGCCGCCUCGCCCCCUCUCCCUUCCUCCCGCCUCGGGACCAAGCCAACGCGCUCACUUCGCCUUUCCUCCACCGUCUCUGCUCCUCCGUCCCAACUGUCGCUUUGCAUCCUUCUCGACUCGCGUCCUCGACGAUAUCUCUCGACCGUCUUAUCGACGAAUCGAAAGGAAAAUUCGAAAAGGGAGAAAAGAGAA